This 72-nucleotide transfer RNA is filed under the name Camelus bactrianus (Bactrian camel). It matches the Rfam family "tRNA". From Rfam's summary of the family: Transfer RNA (tRNA) molecules are approximately 80 nucleotides in length. Their secondary structure includes four short double-helical elements and three loops (D, anti-codon, and T loops). RNAcentral also lists the same sequence under 1 other name. The record is from Rfam by way of RNAcentral. Lineage: Eukaryota; Metazoa; Chordata; Mammalia; Artiodactyla; Camelidae.
GAGGGUGUAGCUCAGGGGGAGAGCGCGUGCUUAGCACGCAUGAGGUUCUGGGUUCAAUCCCCAGGACCUGCA